UCCAUCAAUAUAAGAACAUUUUGACCAUCUAAUCUAACAGAGCAAACUAAUGAAAUAAUGGCUUAUUGUACAUUCAAUAUGCAACGUCGUUGUAUAGAGGGAGAGUGAUAAAUUCGAUGCCAUAAACUUAAUAGCACAUUCAAUAUUCUCUCCGAUUUUACAUUAGUGACAUUAAUUAGGUCACUACUGUUUUUUAACCUUGCGAUUAAAGCAACUCCAACAACUCGUUAUCCUAACUUGCCAUCUCUGUGUUUUUGGCAAAUUAUAAAAAGACUAUCUCCAACGGUUUGUCAUCCGGGUUUCCAAAUUUUAGCAAUUUGUCAUAUUCUCUCGUUUGCGCGCAUAUAUAGUAGUUCGGAUUUCACUUGGUAUCUAGGAAAGUACGAUGCUGGGUCUCUUGCGCC
Molecule: long non-coding RNA, 404 nt
Filed under: Oryza brachyantha (malo sina)
Lineage: Eukaryota; Viridiplantae; Streptophyta; Magnoliopsida; Poales; Poaceae
Description: long non-coding RNA (OBRA_LNC000707)
Source: RNAcentral